This 301-nucleotide ribosomal RNA is filed under the name uncultured bacterium. RNAcentral's name for it is "partial 16S ribosomal RNA". It matches the Rfam family "Bacterial small subunit ribosomal RNA", at positions 509 to 807 of the family's 1533-position model. The record is from RNAcentral.
CAGCCGCCGCGGGAAUACGAAGGGGGCUAGCGUUUCUCGGAAUCACUGGGCGUAAAGGGUGCGUAGGCGGGUCUUUAAGUCAGGGGUGAAAUCCUGGAGCUCAACUCCAGAACUGCCUUUGAUACUGAAGAUCUUGAGUUCGGGAGAGGUGAGUGGAACUGCGAGUGUAGAGGUGAAAUUCGUAGAUAUUCGCAAGAACACCAGUGGCGAAGGCGGCUCACUGGCCCGAUACUGACGCUGAGGCACGAAAGCGUGGGGAGCAAACAGGAUUAGAUACCCCAGUAGUCCCUGUCUCUUAUAC